UUGGGUUUCAGUAAGGAUAUCUCAUUUUGGGGUCUUCGAACUGAGAUUCAGCAAGGAGGGUUAAGUCGUAACAAGGUAUCUGUAGGGGAACCUGCAGAUGGAUCACCUCCUACGCAA
Molecule: ribosomal RNA, 117 nt
Filed under: Methanobacteriota archaeon
Lineage: Archaea; Methanobacteriati; Methanobacteriota
Description: Euryarchaeota archaeon (anaerobic digester metagenome) partial 16S ribosomal RNA
Rfam family: Archaeal small subunit ribosomal RNA
Source: RNAcentral